GACGAACGCUGGCGGCGUGCUUAACACAUGCAAGUCGAACGAUGAAGCCGGAGCUUGCUCUGGUGAAUUAGUGGCGAACGGGUGAGUAACACGUGAGUAACCUGCCCUUGGCUCUGGGAUAACUGCUAGAAAUGGUAGCUAAUACCGGAUACGACCCUCGGAGGCAUCUCCAGGGGGUGGAAAGAAUUUCGGUCAAGGAUGGACUCGCGGCCUAUCAGCUAGUUGGUGAGGUAACGGCUCACCAAGGCGACGACGGGUAGCCGGCCUGAGAGGGUGACCGGCCACACUGGGACUGAGACACGGCCCAGACUCCUACGGGAGGCAGCAGUGGGGAAUAUUGCACAAUGGGCGCAAGCCUGAUGCAGCAACGCUGCGUGAGGGAUGACGGCCUUCGGGUUGUAAACCUCUUUUAGUAGGGAAGAAGCGAAAGUGACGGUACCUGCAGAAAAAGCACCGGCUAACUACGUGCCAGCCGCCGCAGUAA
Molecule: ribosomal RNA, 484 nt
Filed under: uncultured bacterium
Lineage: Bacteria
Description: partial 16S ribosomal RNA
Rfam family: Bacterial small subunit ribosomal RNA
Source: RNAcentral